RNAcentral lists this ribosomal RNA (486 nucleotides) under Veillonella dispar. RNAcentral's name for it is "bacterial SSU rRNA". It matches the Rfam family "Bacterial small subunit ribosomal RNA", at positions 28 to 484 of the family's 1533-position model. Lineage: Bacteria; Bacillati; Bacillota; Negativicutes; Veillonellales; Veillonellaceae. The record is from RNAcentral.
GACGAACGCUGGCGGCGUGCUUAACACAUGCAAGUCGAACGAAGAGCGAUGGAAGCUUGCUUCUAUCAAUCUUAGUGGCGAACGGGUGAGUAACGCGUAAUCAACCUGCCCUUCAGAGGGGGACAACAGUUGGAAACGACUGCUAAUACCGCGUACGAUCUGACCUCGGCAUCGAGGAUGGAUGAAAGGUGGCCUCUAUUUAUAAGCUAUCACUGAAGGAGGGGAUUGCGUCUGAUUAGCUAGUUGGAGGGGUAACGGCCCACCAAGGCGAUGAUCAGUAGCCGGUCUGAGAGGAUGAACGGCCACAUUGGGACUGAGACACGGCCCAGACUCCUACGGGAGGCAGCAGUGGGGGAUCUUCCGCAAUGGACGAAAGUCUGACGGAGCAACGCCGCGUGAGUGAUGACGGCCUUCGGGUUGUAAAGCUCUGUUAAUCGGGACGAAAGGCCUCCUUGCGAAUAGUUAGAAGGAUUGACGGACCGAAUA